This is a long non-coding RNA of Mirounga angustirostris (Northern elephant seal), 3616 nucleotides long. RefSeq lists it as uncharacterized. Lineage: Eukaryota; Metazoa; Chordata; Mammalia; Carnivora; Phocidae. The transcript is spliced from 5 exons. The record is from RefSeq and is a predicted model, not a curated record.
CACACACACACACACACACCCCUCUUCUUUAGAGGAGGACCGAUGAAGAUUGCAUUACACUUAUGUGUGAAUAACUCCUUCAGAUCUAUCUGUCUGCCAAAACAGAUAAGAGAAAGUCAAGAGAGUAGACCAAUCAAAAACUCUCCAGAUGUUUGUAGCGCUGGAAAUUGCUUCUCCAGUGGUGGAGAUACAGAGCCCAGCUGCCAGGGGAAACAGCCACUUCCUAAUGUAACUGCUCAGAAAUGCUGGAGGAGAAAAUACAUGGAGGCACCAUCACACUCCGUCUUGGGCCGAGGAAGGGUGGAUGGAAUGCCCUGAUGGGAGAGGCGAAGACAUCGGAAGCUGAUGACAGAAGAAGCACGAUUCUGCCACUCAUUUCUCUGUCACCCUCACUGGAAUCACUUGCUGAAGUGCCUAUAGCUCUUUGUUUUUGAGGAAAACAGGGAGUUGGGGGAGGCUCCAUAACAGCUGCGGCCAAAGCCCGCGUGAAGCUGGAGGUCUGCUGGUUGACACUACCCUCUCUUUCACCUCCCCAUCUCUCCUCCUGUCCAUCCAUCCAUUCUUCCAUCCAUCUUCCCAUCCCGGCAUCCAUCCGACAUUAUGUGUGAGAAACACCACAAGUUUCUUCAAUAGGGUCUAUUGAAUAAUUAGUACCCACUAUUUUCUUGGGAAAAGAUAGUCACGAGAGUACAUGCCAUAGAAGCAAAGGCCCUGCGAACAGCUUCCCACAUGGAUGAGAACAGAGUCAAGAGGAAAUGAUACAACUUCCAAGCUGGUGCAUAAGACCCACAUGGAGUGAUUUCUUCUGCUUCAUCUGGAUGUGCCUAUAACAAGGGCUGAGGAAACUGAUGAAGUUGAUUACAAGCAGCCACAAAGGGCUUUUGAGGUCCUGGGCCUAUCUAAGUAGGACUGGGCCUCCUAACCAAGAGUCAAAGUGACUUAGCAAAGGCUAUUUUUAGUCCAUUACCUGUAAUCUAUAAAACAAGAAUGAUAUUCGCAUGUAUUCAAUAAAGCUGACUACAAGGCAAGAACACAUACCACCCACCCCCACCCCAAAAAAAGAGAAAAAGAAGACUUACUCUCCAUAUUUGAAAAUCUAAACAUUAAUUAUAACAAUACCAUCCUAAUUAAUUUUAUCUCAGUAAGACAGGAAUUACAGAGCUUUAAGCUAUAAAGACAUGGCCCCAGAAAGAUAGAAUUAAGAUAACAUUCAGCAAAUGAGUAGGCAUGUCCUAGCCUGAGAAAAUACAUUUGCCAUCUGACAAAGGACAUGUGUCGGGAAUAUAUAAAGAGCUGACACAUCCACAAUACAAAGACAAACAACCUCAUUCUUAAUUAAAAUGGGUGAAAGACUGGAAAAGACACUUCACAAAAGGAAACCUGAAUGGCCAUGAAACACACGGGAAAUUUCCAACACUAGUCACCAGGGAAAUGGAAUGAAAAUCACAAAGAGAUACCAUUUCCCACCCACGGGAAAGGCUAUAAAGUACAAUGCCCAGUGUUGGCAAAGCUGUGAAACAACUGGAGCCCAUAUAUAUUCUUGGUAAAUGAAAAUGGUGGAAACACUCUGGAGAACUACUUGGAAGUUUCCUAGAAAGUCAGGCGCAUAACUUAGCACAGGUACCGUCAGUCCCACCACCAGGCAGUCUCAACCCAAUCCUCUGCACUCCCACGUUGCUUUCCUUCUUCCACAUCUUCCAUGUCUUUAUUUGACUACUUUCAUAUUUCUUCCAUUCUUGUUUCAUCCUAAGUGAAUUCUCCCUAAUUAACCAUAAAGAGACACGUUUUCCCACAUCCAUUCUAGGAGGUAUGUAUGUGAUGACAUAAAUGAAAAUGAGAAUUAGCUGUGUAUUUUGCCAAAAGAAGAUGGCAACUAUUUUUCUUUGACAGCUAUCAAGGUUAUUUACACAUCAAGAGUAACAAUGAAAAUGGAACAUAUGCCAAUAGACGGAAGACCAUAUUUAGACUUGAGAUGUUUUUCAUGUACAAAUAAUUUAUAGCUUUCAACAACAGAAAAAAAAUCAUAGUCAUUUGAAAAGUUCAUUUAUUAUAUACCAAUAUACACUUUCUGUAAUAAAAAAAAAAGCCUCCCAGUACAUUGAACCAUCUUAUAAAUGAAAUAAGAAAAUAAAAUUUUUAUCUGUUCAUAAAUGGGGUUAAAUUAACCGGUACAAGAUACCAUAUGUAAGUCUGCCCUGCAGUCUGUGUGAGCUCUAAUCCUGAAAAUGGCCAUGAGAAGAAAAAUGGUGCUUCAUUAUUUGGCACGGUAGUAUUGCUCUUGAAUAUCUGUAUAAUUACCGAGGUCGAUAUUUUCAAGUUAGUCAUUUCAAAAUACAUACAAAUUUUAUACUUUCCCGAUUCUUUUGAAUUAAUCUUUGAUAUUUACAUUUAAAUACAUUCAGAUUAAACCUCUUUUUCUUUUUGUUUUAAUACUCAGAAGGUACCUUUUCCACUUUCUAUUUUGAUAUACUCUUUAGGUGAACAUAAAUGGAAACCUAUCUUGAAGAUGCUCUUUGGCAAGUUAUAAUAAUGACUCAAAAGUUAUGAUAGUUUCUAGUAAUGCUCAAUUUCCAUAACAAAGUGCACCAUUUGACAGUAUUAUGCCUUUAGAAAAUGAUACAUAAAACAAAUGUAUAUUAAGGCACAUUCCAAAGCAACUAUUGAAAUAUGAUUUAAUAUUAUACUGAUAUGAUACUUGUAUUUCAUACUUGGCUUUACCAAAAUAUAAAAAUAUACAAUAAAUGUUCUUGCUACUGACUUGGAGGGGGAAGGUGGCAAACUCCAGAAAUUCUAGGCAGUGAGUGCUAGUUUUUAAAUCCAUUUCAUGUAAGUGUGUUGCAGAAGUGAUCAAGAAUAAUAGUUUUCAAAAAAAAAAAAAAAAGAAUAAUAGUUUUCAUCUCUCUGUAGUGUUAGCACUUCUAUUUUUAUGGCGAGCCAUUUAACAUUGUGUUAAAUGACAAAUGAAUGUCAGCAAACUCCUGUGCAAACCAAAAUGAACUAAAUCCUAUUGUAGACAUGCUAAGUUAAAAGAACAACCUUAGUACUGAUAAUUAUUUGCAAACGAGGAACUUAUUUUCCUGUGGAUGAUUGUGUUAUUAUUGUAAACAUUGGAGAGCAUUACUGAACUAUAUAUAACUUAGGUUUCAAAUUUAAAAUAUCCUCAAUAGACAGAUACAUACAAAUGGAUUUCUGAGUCCAUCAACUUAAUUCCCUGCCCCCAUCCUCAAUAGUAUAAACAUUUUGACUGUGAAGAGAGAAAGCUACACAUGUAAAAAAUAAAAAUCAAAUGUACCAUACAUUAAAGUUCAGAGGACUACAGAAUAAGAUUAUAUACAUAAACAUAUAGCAAUCACAGUUUCCUGCACUGAAUGUUUAUCAAAUAAAAAUGUAUCAAACAAUACUGGGUAAUGUAGCUCCACAUGAAUUGUGGUCUAUCUAAAAAUUCUGGAUGACAAUGGAAGACGAGAGGGAGAGCAUUGUUCAAUGACAAAAGCAUGACAAGAGGACUAGGAAUAAUAUUGAAAAGCAAACGCUUCCAGAACAGGCAGUUUAGCAAUAAGCAUUAUUUUUGUUGUUGCUCUAUCAUUUAAAUAAAGUCCCUCUCUCUGUUUAGCAA